This 200-nucleotide ribosomal RNA is filed under the name uncultured prokaryote. Its description in RNAcentral is "partial 16S ribosomal RNA". It matches the Rfam family "Bacterial small subunit ribosomal RNA", at positions 1184 to 1382 of the family's 1533-position model. The record is from RNAcentral.
GUCAAAUCAGCACGGCCCUUACGUCCGGGGCGACACACGUGUUACAAUGGCCGGUACAGAGGGCAGCUACACAGUAAUGUGAUGCUAAUCUCUAAAACCGGUCUCAGUUCGGAUUGGAGUCUGCAACCCGACUCCAUGAAGUUGGAUUCGCUAGUAAUCGCACAUCAGCCAUGGUGCGGUCGAAUACGUUCCCGGGCCUU